Molecule: long non-coding RNA, 436 nt
Organism: Mustela erminea (ermine)
Lineage: Eukaryota; Metazoa; Chordata; Mammalia; Carnivora; Mustelidae
Exons: 3
Source: RefSeq, a predicted model, not a curated record
CUGUUUUCCAUGUGGAUAGGAUUUGUCAAGGAAAAACUGCACUGGAUAAAGAUAUACAGCUAUAGUCUCAAUGGGCAUGUGGUCUGCCUUCAAGAUUAACGAACAACAGCAGUUUAACCAGAUGUUUACCAUAAUAUAAUGAGACUCACCAGCUCCUCGGUCUGCAAUACCUCCUGUCCUCCCAAGUUCUAACCUCUAUUCUCACCUACAUGGUUAUUGUUGCUCACAACACCAUGACUUCAUUUCACCACAUGGGAAGAAUGAAAGAGGUGUAAGGCAUGUGAUUUUUUGAUACAAAAACAUGAUAUGGAAAUUGUGGACAUUGCAUAAACUCAGAUGCUAAUGACUAAAUGGUCACAUCUAGCUGUAAGAAAUGUUAUUAGUAGAGUGAUGCAUUUUAAUCUCUCUUAUACAGGGAAGGAGAAUCUUUAGAGGG